UACGGAGGGAGCUAGCGUUGUUCGGAAUUACUGGGCGUAAAGCGCGCGUAGGCGGCUUUGUAAGUUAGAGGUGAAAGCCCGGGGCUCAACCCCGGAAUAGCCUUUAAGACUGCAUCGCUAGAAUCCGGGAGAGGUGAGUGGAAUUCCGAGUGUAGAGGUGAAAUUCGUAGAUAUUCGGAAGAACACCAGUGGCGAAGGCGGCUCACUGGACCGGUAUUGACGCUGAGGCACGAAAGCGUGGGGAUCAAACAGG
This 253-nucleotide ribosomal RNA is filed under the name uncultured bacterium. RNAcentral describes it as "partial 16S ribosomal RNA". It matches the Rfam family "Bacterial small subunit ribosomal RNA", at positions 524 to 776 of the family's 1533-position model. The record is from RNAcentral.